RNAcentral lists this ribosomal RNA (590 nucleotides) under uncultured bacterium. RNAcentral describes it as "bacterial SSU rRNA". It matches the Rfam family "Bacterial small subunit ribosomal RNA", at positions 338 to 938 of the family's 1533-position model. The record is from RNAcentral.
CCUACGGGAGGCAGCAGUGGGGAAUUUUCCGCAAUGGGCGAAAGCCUGACGGAGCAACGCCGCGUGGGUGAUGAAGUCUUUCGGGACGUAAAACCCUUUCAGCAGGGACGAACAAAAUGACGGUACCUGCAGAAGAAGCAUCGGCUAACUACGUGCCAGCAGCCGCGGUAAUACGUAGGAUGCGAGCGUUGUCCGGAUUUAUUGGGCGUAAAGCGAACGUAGGCGGUUUCUUAAGUUUGGUCUUAAAGACCGGGGCUCAACCCCGGGGAGUGGACUGAAUACUGGGAGACUAGAGGAUGUUAGAGGAAAGUGGAAUUCCAAGUGUAGCGGUGAAAUGCGUAGAUAUUUGGAGGAACACCAGUGGCGAAAGCGGCUUUCUGGGACAUUUCUGACGCUGAGGUUCGAAAGCUCGGGGAGCAAACAGGAUUAGAUACCCUGGUAGUCCGAGCCGUAAACGAUGGACACUAGGUGUCGGGGGUAUCGACCCCCCGGUGCCGUAGCUAACGCGUUAAGUGUCCCGCCUGGGGAGUACGGUCGCAAGACUGAAACUCAAAGGAAUUGACGGCUGAGCNGCGAGCACACGAGGAGAG